Molecule: long non-coding RNA, 5809 nt
Filed under: Homo sapiens (human)
Lineage: Eukaryota; Metazoa; Chordata; Mammalia; Primates; Hominidae
Description: non-protein coding lnc-ZXDB-3:1
Source: RNAcentral
UUUCCAUAAAGUUUAAAAAUAAAACUAAUCUGUAGUUUUAAUAUAUUCACAAAAAAACUUGUACACAAAUAUUGAUAGCAAAAACUAAUAAUACCUAAAGGUGGAAACAACUCAAAUGUCCAUUAAUUAAUUAACAAAUAAAAUGCAAUAUAGCUAUACAAUGUGAUACAUUUCAGCCAUGAAAAGAGUGAAGUACUGAUAUGUGCUAAAACAUGGAUGAACUUUAAUAACAUCAUACUAAGAAAAGCCAGACACAAAAGCAUAUAUUGUACAAUUCCAUUCAUAUGAAAUAUGCAUAAUAGACAAAUCCAUAGAGACAGAAAGUAAAUUAGUGGUUUCCUGGAGAUGAGGGAAUGGAGAAUGAUUAUGGGAUUUCUUUUCAGAGUGGCAGAGGUGUUCUGGAAUUACCCAGUUGUGAUGACUCAGCAACAUUAUGAAUGUUUUAAAAAUGACUGAAUUGUAUAUUUUAAAAUGGUGAAUUUUACAUUAUGUGAAUUUUAUCUCAAUAAUAAUAAUAAACGAAGAGAAACAAGCAAAUAAAAAACAUCUAACUUUUGGUUUUGAAAAUCAAGUUAUUUAUUUUGGUACAGGAUGGUAGUGACUAGCAGAGAAUAUGAGGGAGCUUUGAGGUUCUGGUAAUCCUUUCAUCUGAGUAGUGGUUUUAUAGGUGUAUUCAUUUUUUGAAAAUUAAUAAAGCAAUUUUGUAAUGUAUGUUAUAUUUUUAAAGUAUAUUUCAAUAAAAGUUAUAAAAAUAAAAUUUACAAAUUAAAAAAUGUUUUAGGGCCAGUUAUAAUUCAAUACAUGGUAACUUAAAAUUAUAUCAAGAAAUAAUUAAAAUACACAAUAUAGCCUCACAACUAACAAUCUAUAGGUUGGUAUCUGGAAGCUUAUUGAAUUGAAUAAUCCAACAAUCUUGAAAAUAAAAAUAAAAUAAAAAUCAAUUAGCAAUUUUAAAGGCAUGAAUCAAAGAUUCACAUUUAGUUUAAAAAUACUCUUAAAAAUACUUGGAGUGGAAAUACUUAAAAACACCAACUACUAAAAUUAUCAUGUAAAAUAAUCAAUAGCCUCCAAUUUCAUAACAUUUUGGCAUUUCAUAGUCAGGGCCCAAAUCUGUAACUUUUCUCUUUACUUAUUACUGUCUUCAAGAAACUUUCAAAAGAUAGAUUGUAUUAGACAGACAGAUUACCAAUGUUGCAAUAAUGGCUCUUUGAUUUUUUUUAUGUCUAACUGUAACUGGAAAAUUCUGGACAUGCUUCAAAAUUGUCACUAUGCUUUUAUCCAGAUGCUUUCAACCAAAGACACUUAGACCAAAACACUUGGCUAUAGAGCAAACUUAAUCAUUUGAUUGUUUAAAUUCUAUUUUCUCAUUUCUAUUUUUGGGAAGAAUCCUCAAUGAUUUUUAUAAAUACAGGCAACAUUUUAUCUUUAAGAAUUUUUUUGUCCCAAAAGAAUCUAUGGUGAAUGACAACAAGAAUCACUUUGCAAAUAAUAUUCUAUCCAGUGUGUUUUUGCAAUACUCAGUAGAUUUGGUACAUAGAUUUAGCAGUGAAAAUGACUAUCCACUGCCUACUGUAAAAAUGAAAUAUAAUAAAAGUUAGUCAAAUUUUUAGAUUUCACAUAGACUUACUGCUGUAGAUAAACUAUUCUAAAAAUGAACUGAAUAGAAAUAUGCUGAAUAAUAUACAAGAGUGGAUUUAUCAGCAAAAUUUAUAAAUACAGAGAAUUUGAUUUAAUAAGAAAUUAAUCUCUUUUUUCCAAUUGAAUUUGCCUUUCAUUCAUUUCCAUAAGUCUUCCCUGUUAUCUAAAAAAAGUAGUAAGGCUAGUCUAGGUUUUUCCAUUUUCAAAGUAACCACAUUUCUAAAGUUAUAAAGACUUAUUUUAACAAUGUUCUUAAAUCCUAAUGCUUCCUAAGUACAUAAAUGAAAGUGACAUACCCAAAUGGCAAAAUGAGCUCUCACAUAAAAAAUAGAAAAGCAAGUUUUACUUAAUCAACGCUAUUUUAGAAAGUGAGGCAAAAAUAAUAUUGGCUUAUUCCCUCUUCUACUAGCAUGUCAUAACAUUUGAUGCAAUUCCUAUUAUUAUUAAUAAUUUAAAAUAAAACAAGUUCCAGAAAGCACAAGAACAUAAAAUGACUUUAAAGGGAAAGCUGUUGCAUCUCUUUGGAAAUAUCAAGGGUCAAGUUUAGCAUUAACGAACUAAUGCCAACACAAAUCGGGAGGAAAAAUAGUUCUCACUCUGCCUAGCAGCACAUUCUAAAAUUGGACCUCGCCUGGAAUGAACUUCUAUUCACUGAGUCAUUGCCUGUGGAAUUUCCAUUUUAGCUCUCUAAUUUGGCUAAUUUCCCCACAAAUAGACAUGAGAGAAGCUUCCUUCUUCCACAUGCAGUAUUAUGUUAUUUCACACUGCAGUUAUAUCCCUCUACUGUGUACACAGGAAAGGGAAAUAAGUCUUGACAAAGACGAAUCAUUUCUUGACUUUAUUCCAAGGAAAGACUGGCUUAGAAUUGAAAUGUUUUCAUUUUGGCUACCAUUUGCAAUUUUUAUUGUUAAAUGUAUUUAUUUUUUAAACUGACAAAAAUUGUGUAUAUUUAUCAUAUACAAUAUGUUUGAAAAUAUAUAUAACACUGUGGAAUGACUAGAUAGAGCUAAUUAACACAUGCAUUACCUCAUAUACCUACUUUUUGUGGUGAGAACAUAAAAUAUUAUGUAUCACUAUAGUGAGCUUUAUUUUUUUUAUAAUGGGCUUUGUUUCCUUUCCAAAUGUAUUCAGUUAGUUAUACUUUAUUCAGAAUGUGAGAGACCUGCUUGAUGAUUAACACUAUCCCUCAUCACAUGAUUGGUGAAGUUUCAGGAUUCUCCAUGUUAAACUCCAGUAGUUGUCAUUCCCAAGUAUCAAACGAAGUCUUUAUAGCCUUAUUUUCAGCUAGCAUACCUAUAUAAAAUAACUACUUUCUAAUUAAAGUCUUGUUUUUUUGUUUCAGAAAAUUAAAAUUUGCUUGUGUGUCCAAUAUAAGGAAAGUAAAAAUUAUUUCAAAAAUUACAGGUGUAAAAUCAUUUAUUUAUAUGCUAUGGUUUUCUCAUUUGGAAACAAAAUGUUUGUUUUAUAUAAUUUCCAAAAGAUCACUCUCAGGUUUUAUACUUAAUAUAUCCGGGAUUCCAAUCUAGAGCAAAUCAAAAUAUAGCAUAAUUUACAAGUUAUUUCCCAUAGUAUUUUGCUAUAAUUAAAGCUACCAGUCACAAUUCUGUUUAAAUUUUAAUUUAGGACAGUUUAUCCUAAUUGCUGUAUUGCAGCUUACAUUUUAGAUUCUUAGAACUUUUUGAAAAAACUUCUGAUAAUCUGCACAUUGAAAUAUUCCUCAUAAUUUUCUGUCCAUACCGUGAAAAUAACAACUGCCAUUCUAUCUGAAUCUGUAUAAUUCUAAUACAUAACCAUCUAGAAAUUGAUUAUAUAUUAUUUGUCAUUGCUUGCUGAAUUUUUGUUUCUAUCUAGCUUGUAAUAUGUGUGGGUAAAGGGCAGAAUUUGUCAAAUAUGUGCUAAAAAUGUUUGUUUGAAUAAAGUAAUGCAACAUACUUUUGUGUUAUACUUCAUAGUGCCUCACACAGAGUAGGCACUCAAUAACCACCAGCUGCUUAAUAAGCUGGUAAUGAUAAGAGGUAGUCUAAGGAUUCACAGUUAGUGCUCAUAAGAAUAAUUAUCUCCUUUGUUUAAAAUACUGAGUUAAGGUAUUUUCCAUAGGCAGAAUGAUGGUUAAUGUGUUUUGCAUGUGCAUAAAUGUCAGCAGAAAACUAGAAUGAAAUGUAUUGUUCUGUUGACAAUGCAGGACAGCAAAGUCACCACCGAACAAAAUGUAAUUGCUAGGUAAUUAUACUAUUUAUUUACUCUCUCUUUUUUUGCACUCCAUGCUCACUGAGUUAUCACCAUUAGUAGUCAGGGUAACUAUAAAAUGUGUUACAUUAGGGUGUAAAGAGAAAAGAGGAUGUGACUUCUGUAAUUGAGUUUCCAUACAUCAUCACUUGCCAUGUUAGCUAAUGAAAGAGAGGAUUAUGAGUAAGAAGCCCAAGUAUCACAUCGAAGUUGGUUUUUGGGCAAUCCUAGUCCUAUCUCUUCCAAUUUAAGAGAAAUGCAGUUAAAACUCAAUCUAACACAGUUUAGCAUGAGAAACUAUUGAAAUUAAUGACUAAGCAGUAUCUUCCAAAUUAUGGAGAUCUGAUUUGUUAUAUUAAUAAGCACCAAAUAAAAAAUACCUGUUGAAUAUCUGUAGUAGCAGAAGGCAGUAGUAAGAAAGAAAUGGAAGCCAGCGACGACAUAGCUCAUUUUGAUACAGAGUAGUCUGGGCUUAUAUUGUACAAGGUUGAAGAGUCCUGCAGAUUCUCAAAGGGAAAUAACAUUAUAAACAUCAAAUGUGAAUCUAAGAACACAUGAGGGAGCCAAACAAGAUAAAGUCGUCUAACAGUGUGGAUAAUCUAGACUAUGCAUGAUUUAUUCAGAGAUAGCCAUAGUUUAUCACUUCCUGAUAAAUUAAGCAUGUCCUAAUCGUCUUUGCAUAAAUAUUCCUGAAAAUAUUUUAUUACACAACUUUGUUCAUAUUAAUCAAGUGUAAUUUUUAUAGUAUCCAAGAAAUCCUUAGGGACAUUUUUAAUCUUCCUUUCUCUUUCUGAUGGUUGUCCUAUACAUUCAAUAAGUCACCAAAUUAUAUUCAUUUCCUCAAUUAGGACACAUCACCUAUAUCUCUGUCUCUUCUCGUCACCACUUCAGUCCAAGCCUUCAUCACAACACUCCGGAAUUACUACAACAGACUCCUAUGUGACGGCACUAUUUCCCCCAUCGUAUCCACAUUAUACAUGUCCACUAUAUUAAUAUUUUUAUAUAAUCAUAUUUGACUUCCCUUCUCAAAUAUCUUCACUGGCUUUCAAUCAUAUCCAGAAUAAAGUCCUAUCUACUCUGACUGGUUUGUAUUGCCUUCCGGAAUUUGGCUCCAUACUGGCAGUCUAACCCUAACACCCAGCACUUACCAAAUAUGAGCCCUGAAUUUGAGUUAGGCUGUUUUUCACAGUGUUGUGUGGCUAAUUCCAUUUUGAGUUCUUUGUGCUUUUCUCCCAGGCUGGAAUUCACCAACACUCUUCUUUAUAUAACUAAAUGUAACCACCCAUUAAACUCUAGCUCCUGCCCCUCCUUUCACUCCAAGCCACUCAUUUGGUGCCUGAAAACAUGUUUGUUGAUUUUGUUUAGUUGUAAAAUGGCUAAUAGGUGAAUUUCUAUGUCCUCUCCAAAAUUAAGAUAUGGCUCAUAUUUUACUCUUCUUAUCUAUAUCCCUAGUAUUCUACCUUGCAUUCUGUAAGGAGUCAGUAAAUUAACUUGAAAUAUGCAGAGGGGACCAUAGCUUAAAAAUUGUUACCAGAGGCCCCAUCUAUUUAGAUUUUGUAAACAUAUAAAAUUCAUUUUUAAUGAUUGCUUUGCUUUUUAUAGUUUUUUUUGUGCUUAAACAAUCUGUUAUCUAAACCCUUGGUCCCUAGCCAUUUUCUUGUUUUCCUGCAACUAGAUGGUCCCAUUUUGGGGCAAUGGGAUACAGCGACAUAUCAUUACGCAUUAGAUUCUCAUAAGCAGUGUGCAAUCUAGCUCCCUCCCAUGCGCAGUUCACAACAGUUUGUGCUCCUAUAUGAGAAUCUAAUGCCACUGCUGAUCUGACGAGAGGUGGAGCUCAGUUUUGCUCCCUGGCGGCCACUCACCUCCUGCUAUGCAGAACAAUUUCUAAUACGCCAUGGACUAGUACCUGUCCAUGGCCUGGGGGCUGGGGACUCCUGCUUUAAAC